AGAGUUUGAUCAUGGCUCAGAACGUACGCUGGCGGCACGCCUAACACAUGCAAGUCGAACGAAGUAGCAAUACUUAGUGGCAGACGGGUGAGUAACAUGUAGGUAUCUGCCCUUUGGCCUGGAAUAACACGAGGAAACUUGUGCUAAUACCGGAUAAGUCUUUACGGAGAAAGCUUUAUGCACCAUUGGAUGAGCCUGCACUUGAUUAGUUUGUUGGUGGGGUAAUGGCCUACCAAGACUGUGAUCAAUAGCUGAUUUGAGAGGAUGAUCAGCCACAUUGGGACUGAGACACGGCCCAAACUCCUACGGGAGGCAGCAGUGGGGAAUCUUGCACAAUGGAGGAAACUCUGAUGCAGCGAUGCCGCGUGAGUGAAGAAGGCCUUUGGGUUGUAAAGCUCUUUCGUCGGGGAAGAAAAUGACUGUACCCGAAUAAGAAGGUCCGGCUAACUUCGUGCCAGCAGCCGCGGUAAUACGAAGGGACCUAGCGUAGUUCGGAAAUACUGGGCUUAAAGAGUUCGUAGGUGGUUGAAAAAGUUAGUGGUGAAAUCCCAGAGCUUAACUCUGGAACUGCCAUUAAAACUUUUCAGCUAGAGUAUGAUAGAGGAAAGCAGAAUUUCUAGUGUAGAGGUGAAAUUCGUAGAUAUUAGAAAGAAUACCAAUUGCGAAGGCAGCUUUCUGGAUCAUUACUGACGCUGAGGAACGAAGGCAUGGGUAGCGAAGAGGAUUAGAUACCCUCGUAGUCCAUGCCGUAAACGAUGUGUGUUAGACGUUGGAAAUUUAUUUUCAGUGUCGCAGCGAAAGCGUUAAACACACCGCCUGGGGAGUACGACCGCAAGGGUUAAAACUCAAAUGAAUUGACGGGGACCCGCACAAGUAGUGGAGCA
This 884-nucleotide ribosomal RNA is filed under the name uncultured bacterium. RNAcentral describes it as "bacterial SSU rRNA". It matches the Rfam family "Bacterial small subunit ribosomal RNA", at positions 8 to 939 of the family's 1533-position model. The record is from RNAcentral.